CCCACACUAAGACUUAGAAGAAUAGUACUGCUUAGAGAAGCUUGCUAGAGUGUACAUAUGGAUCUGGUAUAGGCAUUAUGGGUGGAAAAUUUGUAAUUCAGUUUAUCAUUAACAAAUUUCUAUCACUUAAAUGAAAGAAGUGGGUGGAAUGUUUGCUUAACAGCAGUCCUAUGGAAUCUGUUCUUGCUAUGUUGUCCUCUCUCGUACUUUCUGGAUAUUUACCACAUUAACAGAUUACAGGCUCUCCGGAUAAAUUCUUAUGAACAAUGGGAGUUCCGGGGAGGACAGAUAGGCUUCAAAGAGCAUGAACCUGUAUAAAUGCUCAUUGUUAUUCUGUAGUAGCAUUUCAUUUUCCAAUGAAAUAAAUUCUUUAAAAAGAUUCACAAACUGUGACUCAUAAAGGAGUUUUUCCCUGUUAAAUCAUCCCACUACUUGGAUAUAAACAUUCACAUCCUCAGGGAGGCAGUAAGUACAUUUUAUGCUUUGGAAAAAUAGCAAUGAAUAUUCUAAGUCAAAACUAGAGACCUGCUUUGCUUGUGCUGGAGAAAAGAGAGUAAGAUUCCAGUGGUUUCCAACGCUAAAUUUAAUAUUUAAAAAUAUGCUGGUUUUGGAGUUAUUUCUGUGAGUACUACUGAGUGAUGAAAUGAUUCAUGAAUGUUGAUAACUAAUCGGAUUCAUGUGUAUAGAUGGUUUUCUAUUGAUAAUAGUCAUUCAGUUAUGGAAUUAUGCAUUAAAGCCAAAUCAGAUCCAAAGACAAAUUUUGAAUAUUCAAAUAUAUUCAAUUUUGAAUAGUCUGAUUUAUUUAUAAUCCAGAUGACAAGUUUCUACUUUAACUGACUACUUGUUUGGUAUACAAAUAGGAUACGAAACUUCCCUUUCUUCAGCAGAGUUUAUUUAAUCAGUGGAUAUUGCUUCCAGCUGUGUGACAGUGACUUUCCAUGGGUCUAGGUUUCCCUGUGAAACAGAAAAACAGUGAAGAGAAAGAGAGAGAGAGAGAGAGAGAAAGAAAAAGAAAGAGAUUGGUCAAGCUACAUAGAGCCUUCAAUUUCUUCUAUGAUAUACCAAAUGAAAGAACUUGAUUACUCUGUUCUGGGUAUGCAACAUUGACUUAAAAAUAUUAGUAGUGCUGGUAAUGGUACUGCUAAUUUGAAGUGUGGA
RNAcentral lists this long non-coding RNA (1158 nucleotides) under Anas platyrhynchos platyrhynchos (common mallard). RNAcentral describes it as "lncRNA (ENSAPLG00000024366.1)". Lineage: Eukaryota; Metazoa; Chordata; Aves; Anseriformes; Anatidae. The record is from RNAcentral.